Molecule: ribosomal RNA, 305 nt
Filed under: uncultured bacterium
Lineage: Bacteria
Description: bacterial SSU rRNA
Rfam family: Bacterial small subunit ribosomal RNA
Source: RNAcentral
ACCUACGGGACGCAGCAGUGGGGAAUAUUGCACAAUGGGGGGAACCCUGAUGCAGCAAUGCCGCGUGGGUGAAGAAGCACUCCGGUGCGUAAAGCCCUUCAGCAGGGAAGAAAAUGACAGUACCUGGACAAGAAGCCCCGGCUAACUACGUGCCAGCAGCCGCGGUAAUACGUAGGGGGCAAGCGUUAUCCGGAUUUACUGGGUGUAAAGGGAGCGUAGGCGGCAGGGCAAGCCUGAUGUGAAAGCCCGGGGCUCAACCCCGGGACUGCAUUGGGAACUGCCCCGCUCGAGUGCCGGAGGGGCAG